This 1719-nucleotide ribosomal RNA is filed under the name Triticum aestivum (bread wheat). RNAcentral's name for it is "partial small subunit ribosomal RNA". Lineage: Eukaryota; Viridiplantae; Streptophyta; Magnoliopsida; Poales; Poaceae. The record is from RNAcentral.
AUGCCGCCGCCGACCACCGCGGGCACGCUCCCGAACAGGGCACUCCACGCCCGGCUCCUCCGCUCCGGCGCGCUCGACGCCGACCCGUCAGCCGCCGCCCCGCUCGCCGCGUCGGCCGCCAACUCCUCCCUCCCCUACGCGCUCUCCCUCCUCCGAGCCCACCCCUCCACCUUCUCCUACAACACCGCCAUCCGCUCCCUCGCGCACGGCCCCCGCCCGCACCUCGCCGUCGCCCUCUACCGCUCCAUGCUCCUCGGCCCCCUCUCCAACCCCAACAACUACACCUACCCGCCGCUCCUCGCCGCCUGCGCCCGCCUCCUCCCCGCGAGCUCACCAACCCCGGCGGCCGCGCCGGGCACCGCCGUCCACGCCUCCCUCUUCCGCCGCGGCCUGGAUUCCCGCGACCGGUUCAUCGGCGCGUCGCUCCUCUCCUUCUAUGCGGCCGCCGGGGACCUGCCCGCCGCACGCCAGGUGUUCGACGCAAGUCCCCCCGGCCAAAGGGACCUGCCUCUCUGGAACUCGCUCCUCCACGCCCACCUCUCGCAGGGCUUCUACGCCCACGUGCUGCGCCUCUCGCGGCAGAUGCCCGCCGCCGACGAGGUCACGCUGCUCGCCCUCGUCUCCGCCUGCUCGCAUCUCGGCGCGCUCGACACAGGCCGCUGGGCGCAUGCUUCCUAUGCAAGGACCCGCCGGAGCACCACCAGGAAUCUGGGCACCGCUCUGCUCAACAUGUACAUGAGGUGCGGAGAUGUCGAGAGCGCGUGGUCCGUGUUCCGGGAGACGCUCGACAAGGAUGUCCGGACGUGGAGCGUCAUGAUCGCCGGACUGGCCACCAACGGUCUCCCCAGGGACGCGCUGGCCUUGUUCGCUGAGAUGAAGAACACAGGUGUGGACCCAGAUUCCAUCACCAUGACCGCUGUGCUGAGUGCGUGCGCCCAUGCUGGCAUGGUGGAUGAGGGCAAGAAGUUCCUGGACUGUAUGCCGGUUGAAUAUCGUGUACAGCCCACCAUAGAGCAUUAUGGCUGCGUCGUCGAUCUGCUUGGUCGAGCAGGGCAGCUAGAUGAGGCAUUGGCUCUCAUUAAGACUGUCCCGUUCAAGGCUGAUGUUGUGCUAUGGGGUGCUCUCUUGGUCGCAUGUAGGGUUCACAAGAAUGUCGACAUGGGGGAGAUGGCUGCCAUGGAGAUACUCAAGUUGGAUCCCCAGCAUGCCGGGGCAUGUGUGUUCUUAUCUAAUGUCUAUGCUGAUGCUGGGAAAUGGGACCUUGUACAAGGGGUAAGGAGCUCGAUGAAAGAACACAAGAUAUACAAGCCUCCAGGAUCCAGCAUUGUUGAGCUGAAUGGUGUGGUUUACGAGUUCUUGUCCGGGGACCGUUCACAUCCUCAGUCUGAUCGAAUAUAUGCAAUGCUUGAUGAGAUUUGCAAGACCUUAAGCCUCAAGGGACACAAGCCUUCAACUAAAGAAGUUACCUUCGACGUUGAUGAGGAGGACAAAGAAGUUUGCAUUUCGCAGCACAGCGAGAAACUCGCGCUUGCCUUGGGACUCAUAAGCACGACAAGAGGGGAUGUCAUCCGUAUAGUGAAGAACCUGAGAAUCUGUGAGGAUUGUCACUCUGUCAUGAAGAUAGUCUCAGAGGUCUACGAUCGAGUCAUAGUUGUCAGAGACCGAAACCGGUUCCACCACUUCAAGAACGGCUCCUGUUCCUGCUUGGACUAUUGGUAG